AGCAGCCGCGGUAAUUCCAGCUCCAAUAGCGUAUAUUAAAGUUGUUGCAGUUAAAAAGCUCGUAGUUGAAUUUCGGGAUUGGCGCAUCGGUCGUGCCUCACGGGGUAUGAACUGGUGCAGUCAAUUUCUCACCUUCUGGAGAACCGCGAUGUCCUUAAUUGGAUGCCGCGGGGAACCAGGACCUUUACUUUGAAAAAAUUAGAGUGUUUAAAGCAGGCAUUUUUGCUUGAAUACAUUAGCAUGGAAUAAUAAAAUAGGACGGCAUGGUUCUAUUUUGUUGGUUUCUAGGACCACCGUAAUGAUUAAUAGGGAUAGUUGGGGGCAUUAGUAUUCAAUUGUCAGAGGUGAAAUUCUUGGAUUUAUUGAAGACUAACUACUGCGAAAGCAUUUGCCAAGGAUGUUUUCAUUAAUCAAGAACGAAAGUUAGGGGAUCGAAGACGAUCAGAUACCGUCGUAGUCUUAACCAUAAACUAUGCCGACUAGGAAUCAGACGAUGUUAAUUUUUAAUGUACUCGUUGGC
Molecule: unclassified non-coding RNA, 520 nt
Filed under: uncultured Entrophospora
Lineage: Eukaryota; Fungi; Glomeromycota; Glomeromycetes; Entrophosporales; Entrophosporaceae
Description: SSU rRNA
Rfam family: Eukaryotic small subunit ribosomal RNA
Source: RNAcentral